UACGUAGGCAGCGAGCGUUGUUCGGAAUUACUGGGCGUAAAGAGCGCGCAGGCGGUCGACCAAGUCGCGUGUGAAAGCCCCCGGCUCAACUGGGGAGGGUCACGCGAUACUGAUCGACUCGAAGGCAGGAGAGGGUAGUGGAAUUCCCGGUGUAGUGGUGAAAUGCGUAGAUAUCGGGAGGAACACCAGUGGCGAAGGCGACUACCUGGCCUGUUCUUGACGCUGAGGCGCGAAAGCUAGGGGAGCAAACGGG
Molecule: ribosomal RNA, 253 nt
Filed under: uncultured bacterium
Lineage: Bacteria
Description: partial 16S ribosomal RNA
Rfam family: Bacterial small subunit ribosomal RNA
Source: RNAcentral